CGGGAGGCAGCAGUGGGGAAUAUUGCACAAUGGGCGCAAGCCUGAUGCAGCCAUGCCGCGUGUAUGAAGAAGGCCUUCGGGUUGUAAAGUACUUUCAGCGAGGAGGAAGGCGUUGUGGUUAAUAACCGCAGCGAUUGACGUUACUCGCAGAAGAAGCACCGGCUAACUCCGUGCCAGCAGCCGCGGUAAUACGGAGGGUGCAAGCGUUAAUCGGAAUUACUGGGCGUAAAGCGCACGCAGGCGG
This 244-nucleotide ribosomal RNA is filed under the name Citrobacter werkmanii. Its description in RNAcentral is "partial 16S ribosomal RNA". It matches the Rfam family "Bacterial small subunit ribosomal RNA", at positions 342 to 578 of the family's 1533-position model. Lineage: Bacteria; Pseudomonadati; Pseudomonadota; Gammaproteobacteria; Enterobacterales; Enterobacteriaceae. The record is from RNAcentral.